UAGUGUCACAGCUCUUUUAGGAUUUGCCUAGCAGGUUUUUCCGUUUUUACUGGAAAGCCACG
Macaca fascicularis (crab-eating macaque) is the source of this 62-nucleotide small nuclear RNA. Its record names the gene U7. It matches the Rfam family "U7 small nuclear RNA". From Rfam's summary of the family: Animal histone pre-mRNAs are spliced by a different mechanism than nuclear pre-mRNAs and self-splicing introns. This processing involves the U7 snRNP, which contains only one RNA species: U7. The 5' end of U7 RNA is thought to base-pair to a conserved spacer element downstream of the cleavage site in histone pre-mRNA. The record is from Ensembl. Lineage: Eukaryota; Metazoa; Chordata; Mammalia; Primates; Cercopithecidae.